UUCGCACCGUCAGGAGAGAGCGCCCACGCGGCGCCGCCGAAGGCGCAGGUUCACCGAACGCUCAGGCAAAAGGACUGGCAGCCGCCC
This 87-nucleotide non-coding RNA is filed under the name Acidovorax sp. RNAcentral's name for it is "Glycine sequence". It matches the Rfam family "Glycine riboswitch aptamer". Rfam says of the family: This family represents the bacterial glycine riboswitch. The record is from RNAcentral. Lineage: Bacteria; Pseudomonadati; Pseudomonadota; Betaproteobacteria; Burkholderiales; Comamonadaceae.